Molecule: ribosomal RNA, 253 nt
Filed under: uncultured bacterium
Lineage: Bacteria
Description: partial 16S ribosomal RNA
Rfam family: Bacterial small subunit ribosomal RNA
Source: RNAcentral
UACGGAGGGUGCAAGCGUUAUCAGGAAUCACUGGGUUUAAAGGGUGCGUAGGCGGGCUGAUAAGUCAGAGGUGAAAGCUCAAGGCUCAACCGUGGAAUUGCCUUUGAUACUGUUAGUCUUGAAAAGGGUUGAGGUUGGCGGAAUAUGGCAUGUAGGGGUGAAAUGCAUAGAUAUGCCAUAGAACACCGAUUGCGAAGGCAGCUGACUGGACCCGAUUUGACGCUGAGGCACGAAAGCGUGGGGAGCGAACAGG